RNAcentral lists this ribosomal RNA (490 nucleotides) under uncultured bacterium. RNAcentral describes it as "partial 16S ribosomal RNA". It matches the Rfam family "Bacterial small subunit ribosomal RNA", at positions 29 to 523 of the family's 1533-position model. The record is from RNAcentral.
AAUGAACGUUGGCGGCAUGGAUUUGGCAUGCAAGUCGAGCGAGAAGAGUUUUGAAGCUUGCUUUAGAACUCGGACAGCGGCGAAAGGGAGAGUAACGCGUAGUUAUGUGCCCUAGGGUCCGGAAUAGCCACGGGAAACUGUGGGUAAUGCCGGAUAAUAUCCCCGGAUCAAAGGUGUGAUUCCGCCCUAGGAGCAGACUGCGUCCUACUAGCUAGUUGGUGGGGUAAUGGCCUACCAAGGCAACGAUGGGUAGCGGGUGUGAGAGCAUGACCCGUCUCACUGGGCCUGAGACACUGCCCAGACACCUACGGGUGGCUGCAGUCGAGAAUCUUCGGCAAUGGGCGAAAGCCUGACCGAGCGAUGCCGCGUGCGGGAUGAAGGCCCUCGGGUUGUAAACCGCUGUCGUAGGGGAGGAAGGUUCCGUGAAGAGCGGAAUUUGACCUAUCCUAGGAGGAAGUACGGGCUAAGUUCGUGCCAGCCGCCGCGGUAA